This 468-nucleotide ribosomal RNA is filed under the name uncultured bacterium. RNAcentral's name for it is "partial 16S ribosomal RNA". It matches the Rfam family "Bacterial small subunit ribosomal RNA", at positions 28 to 507 of the family's 1533-position model. The record is from RNAcentral.
GACGAACGCUGGCGGCGUGCUUAACACAUGCAAGUCGAACGGAAAGGCCCUGCUUUUGUGGGGUGCGCGAGGGGCCAACGGGUGAGUAACACGUGAGUAACCUACCAUUGACUGUGGGAUAACUUCAGGCAGCUGGGGGUAAUAGCGGAUAGGAGCUCCUGCUGCAGGGUGGGGGUUGGAAAGUUUCGGCGGUUGGGGAUGGACUCGCGGCUUAUCAGCUUGUUGGUGUGGUAGUGUCUUACCAAGGCUUUGACGGGUAGCAGGCCUGAGAGGGUGACCGGCCCCAUCGGGACUGAGCUACGACCCAGACCCGUCCGGGACGCAGCAGUGGAGAAUAGUGCACUAUGGGCGGAAGCCUAAUGCAGCACCGCCGUGCGCGGGAUGACGGCCUUCGGUUUGUAUUCCGCUUCCGCCUGUCACGAAGCGUGAGUGACGGUACUGGGUAAAUAAGCACCGGCUAACUACGUG